This 745-nucleotide ribosomal RNA is filed under the name Escherichia coli. RNAcentral's name for it is "partial 23S ribosomal RNA". It matches the Rfam family "Bacterial large subunit ribosomal RNA", at positions 2177 to 2916 of the family's 2925-position model. The record is from RNAcentral. Lineage: Bacteria; Pseudomonadati; Pseudomonadota; Gammaproteobacteria; Enterobacterales; Enterobacteriaceae.
UGCAUGGAGCCGACCUUGAAAUACCACCCUUUAAUGUUUGAUGUUCUAACGUUGGCCCCUGAUCGGGGUUGCGGACAGUGUCUGGUGGGUAGUUUGACUGGGGCGGUCUCCUCCUAAAGAGUAACGGAGGAGCACGAAGGUUGGCUAAUCCUGGUCGGACAUCAGGAGGUUAGUGCAAUGGCAUAAGCCAGCUUGACUGCGAGCGUGACGGCGCGAGCAGGUGCGAAAGCAGGUCAUAGUGAUCCGGUGGUUCUGAAUGGAAGGGCCAUCGCUCAACGGAUAAAAGGUACUCCGGGGAUAACAGGCUGAUACCGCCCAAGAGUUCAUAUCGACGGCGGUGUUUGGCACCUCGAUGUCGGCUCAUCACAUCCUGGGGCUGAAGUAGGUCCCAAGGGUAUGGCUGUUCGCCAUUUAAAGUGGUACGCGAGCUGGGUUUAGAACGUCGUGAGACAGUUCGGUCCCUAUCUGCCGUGGGCGCUGGAGAACUGAGGGGGGCUGCUCCUAGUACGAGAGGACCGGAGUGGACGCAUCACUGGUGUUCGGGUUGUCAUGCCAAUGGCACUGCCCGGUAGCUAAAUGCGGAAGAGAUAAGUGCUGAAAGCAUCUAAGCACGAAACUUGCCCCGAGAUGAGUUCUCCCUGACUCCCUGAGAGUCCUGAAGGAACGUUGAAGACGACGACGUUGAUAGGCCGGGUGUGUAAGCGCAGCGAUGCGUUGAGCUAACCGGUACUAAUGAACCGUGAGG